This 429-nucleotide ribosomal RNA is filed under the name Chloroflexota bacterium. RNAcentral describes it as "Chloroflexi bacterium partial 16S ribosomal RNA". It matches the Rfam family "Bacterial small subunit ribosomal RNA", at positions 355 to 776 of the family's 1533-position model. Lineage: Bacteria; Bacillati; Chloroflexota. The record is from RNAcentral.
UGGGGAAUAUUGCACAAUGGGCGCAAGCCUGAUGCAGCCAUGCCGCGUGUGUGAAGAAGGCCUUCGGGUUGUAAAGCACUUUCAGCGGGGAGGAAGGCGGUGAGGUUAAUAACCUCACCGAUUGACGUUACCCGCAGAAGAAGCACCGGCUAACUCCGUGCCAGCAGCCGCGGUAAUACGGAGGGUGCAAGCGUUAAUCGGAAUUACUGGGCGUAAAGCGCACGCAGGCGGUCUGUCAAGUCGGAUGUGAAAUCCCCGGGCUCAACCUGGGAACUGCAUUCGAAACUGGCAGACUAGAGUCUUGUAGAGGGGGGUAGAAUUCCAGGUGUAGCGGUGAAAUGCGUAGAGAUCUGGAGGAAUACCGGUGGCGAAGGCGGCCCCCUGGACAAAGACUGACGCUCAGGUGCGAAAGCGUGGGGAGCAAACAGG